This 301-nucleotide ribosomal RNA is filed under the name uncultured bacterium. Its description in RNAcentral is "partial 16S ribosomal RNA". It matches the Rfam family "Bacterial small subunit ribosomal RNA", at positions 509 to 807 of the family's 1533-position model. The record is from RNAcentral.
CAGUAGCCGCGUGAAUACGAAGGGUGCAAGCGUUAAUCGGAAUUACUGGGCGUAAAGCGUGCGUAGGCGGUGAGUUAAGUCUGCUGUGAAAUCCCCGGGCUCAACCUGGGAAUGGCAGUGGAUACUGGCUCGCUAGAGUGUGUCAGAGGAUGGUGGAAUUCCCGGUGUAGCGGUGAAAUGCGUAGAGAUCGGGAGGAACAUCAGUGGCGAAGGCGGCCAUCUGGGACAACACUGACGCUGAGGCACGAAAGCGUGGGGAGCAAACAGGAUUAGAUACCCCAGUAGUCCCUGUCUCUUAUAC